GUUAAAAUUGAUCUAGAGCAAAUUGAAGUCAUUGCCGAUUUCUAUGUGUUUCUGUUGGGUGGAGUUGAUAUAAUUUUGGGAAUUUCAUGGCUAAAAACGUUCGGUGAAGUUCAACAUAAUUGGGCAACUAGGCAAAUGUCAUUUCAACAGCAUGGACAACUGAUUACUCUAUGUGGCAACCCUUCUCUCACUAAAGCAAUGGUAACAAUUUCGCAGCUUCAGAAAUUGACAGAUAUUGAUUUUGGGGUGUUGCUCUGGGAAUUAAAUGAAUUAGAUGGUCAGAGAGAGUUUGAAGCAGAAAUCAGGCAAUCGCAACAAGAGGACUUGAAUAAUUUAGUCCGUGAGUUCAAUGAGGUGUCUGGAGACAUUACAAACCUUCCUCCUUCUCGCCCUACUGAUCAUGUCAUUCCUUUAAUAGAAGGAACUACUGUUGUUAAUGUAAGACCAUACUGAUAUGGGCAAUUCCAAAAAGAUGAAAUCAAGAAAAUGGUG
Molecule: unclassified non-coding RNA, 492 nt
Filed under: Hevea brasiliensis (rubber tree)
Lineage: Eukaryota; Viridiplantae; Streptophyta; Magnoliopsida; Malpighiales; Euphorbiaceae
Source: RNAcentral